GAAAACGCAGGACCCCAAAAAGGUACUUACUAGUAGAUGACUAAGUGAUUUAUGAAAAAACGUAGAACCAGUAGAGGAAAACAAGAGAGAAAGAUUGAACAAGAUGGGUCUUGCGUCUAAGUGAACAACUUAUCAUAAACCCACAAAGGAGAAUUUCACUCACAACUGGAGACAUCAAUUCACAAACUAUGCAGCCAUCAAAAACAAAAAAAUUAUGAACAGAGUAACAAUAGCCGGGAAACUAAAGAUUCGACAGACAAAGAGGAGAAGAGAAGAAGAGGAAGGGAUUGAUGUUGAGGUUAUGGACUGAUUUAAAGGCACAAAAAGGUGGACGAGAGAAAU
RNAcentral lists this long non-coding RNA (342 nucleotides) under Nicotiana benthamiana. RNAcentral's name for it is "long non-coding RNA (NBEN_LNC007846)". The record is from RNAcentral. Lineage: Eukaryota; Viridiplantae; Streptophyta; Magnoliopsida; Solanales; Solanaceae.